This 278-nucleotide unclassified non-coding RNA is filed under the name Ascomycota sp. Its description in RNAcentral is "partial contains small subunit ribosomal RNA, internal transcribed spacer 1, and 5.8S ribosomal RNA". The stretch from base 1 to 47 matches the Rfam family "Eukaryotic small subunit ribosomal RNA", at positions 1785 to 1831 of the family's 1831-position model. The record is from RNAcentral. Lineage: Eukaryota; Fungi; Ascomycota.
AAAGUCGUAACAAGGUCUCCGUUGGUGAACCAGCGGAGGGAUCAUUACCGAGUUUUCAACUCCCAAACCCACUGUGAACUUAUACCUUUACUGUUGCUUCGGCGGGUCUCGGCCCCGGCGCUGCCCCUCCUCUUACCGGGAGGGGUGAGCCGGACAACACGGCCCCCGCCGGAGGACCCAAACUCUUGAAUUUUCGCGACUGGCUCGCGGCAGUUUGUAUUCUGAUUAAUUCAAAACAAAAUGAAUCAAAACUUUCAACAACGGAUCUCUUGGUUCUG